CAUGCAGUCGAACGGCAGCAUGGAGAGCUUGCUCUCUGAUGGCGAGUGGCGAACGGGUGAGUAAUAUAUCGGAACGUGCCCAGUAAUGGGGAAUAACUAAUUGAAAGAUUAGCUAAUACCGCAUACGACCUACGGGUGAAAGCAGGGGAUCUUCGGACCUUGCGUUAUUGGAGCGGCCGAUAUCUGAUUAGCUAGUUGGUGGGGUAAAAGCCUACCAAGGCGACGAUCAGUAGCUGGUCUGAGAGGACGAUCAGCCACACUGGAACUGAGACACGGUCCAGACUCCUACGGGAGGCAGCAGUGGGGAAUUUUGGACAAUGGGGGAAACCCUGAUCCAGCCAUCCCGCGUGAGUGAAGAAGGCCUUCGGGUUGUAAAGCUCUUUCGGAAGUGAAGAAAACUUAUUUCGUAAUAUGUUAUAAGAAUGACGGUAACUUUAGAAGAAGCACCGGCUAACUACGUGCCAGCAGCCGCGGUAAUACGUAGGGUGCGAGCGUUAAUCGGAAUUACUGGGCGUAAAGCGUGCGCAGGCGGUUUUGUAAGUCAGAUGUGAAAUCCCCGAGCUUAACUUGGGAACUGCGUUUGAAACUACAAGACUAGAGUGUGUCAGAGGGGGGUAGAAUUCCACGUGUAGCAGUGAAAUGCGUAGAGAUGUGGAGGAAUAUCAAUGGCGAAGGCAGCCCCCUGGGAUAACACUGACGCUCAUGCACGAAAGCGUGGGGAGCGAACAGG
This 730-nucleotide ribosomal RNA is filed under the name Methylophilales bacterium. RNAcentral's name for it is "bacterial SSU rRNA". It matches the Rfam family "Bacterial small subunit ribosomal RNA", at positions 54 to 776 of the family's 1533-position model. Lineage: Bacteria; Pseudomonadati; Pseudomonadota; Betaproteobacteria; Nitrosomonadales. The record is from RNAcentral.